GACGAACGCUGGCGGCGUGCUUAACACAUGCAAGUCGAACGGAAAGGCCCUGCUUGCAGGGUGCUCGAGUGGCGAACGGGUGAGUAACACGUGGGUGAUCUGCCCCUUACUUUGGGAUAAGCCUGGGAAACUGGGUCUAAUACUGGAUAGGACCAUGCUGUAGGUGGUGUGGUGGAAAGAUUAGUUUCGGUAAGGGAUGAGCUCGCGGCCUAUCAGCUUGUUGGUGGGGUAAUGGCCUACCAAGGCGUCGACGGGUAGCCGGCCUGAGAGGGUGGACGGCCACAUUGGGACUGAGAUACGGCCCAGACUCCUACGGGAGGCAGCAGUGGGGAAUAUUGCACAAUGGGCGCAAGCCUGAUGCAGCGACGCCGCGUGGGGGAUGACGGCCUUCGGGUUGUAAACUCCUUUCAGCCAUGGCGAAGCCCUUGUGGUGACGGUAGUGGUAGGAGAAGCACCGGCUAACUACGUG
Molecule: ribosomal RNA, 469 nt
Filed under: uncultured bacterium
Lineage: Bacteria
Description: partial 16S ribosomal RNA
Rfam family: Bacterial small subunit ribosomal RNA
Source: RNAcentral